GCGGAAUUCUGUAGUUUCCAUGCCAUCGCGGUUCACAAAGCUUUAUAAAUCUUUUUUUUAAGUAAUAAAAGUAAAAAAAUAAGUCUAUUUCUUACAUAGAUCGUUUUCUAAUGUUGCACUUAUUUGGAUAACAACAACAAGAUCUUGUAUCAAGUUUAGCAAAAAAAAAAUGUGUUUCGAUUUAUCAACCAAGCUCGUAAAACUGGAUAAUAACAGAAAUAAUAACAGUCUCCCAUCACCAAAUCCGCUUCCAAAUUAGCUUCCAUCAUCGAGCGGUCCUCUCCGGUCUUCAAACAGUUUCGGAGCAGCAAAACACGCCGGAGAACGCCCGAAAGAUCAAGUUCUUACAACUGGCCAAUAACGGAAAUAACAACAGUCUCCCAUCACCAAAUCCGUUUCCGAACGAGCUGCCAUCAUCGAGCUGACCUCUCCAGUCUUCAAAAUGAAUCGUUACGGAGCAGCAAUGUAUGCCGGAGAAUGCCAGGAAGAUCGAGAACCAUAUCACCGGUAAGACGAGGAACCGUAUCGGGAUGCCUUUUGCCCCUCUGGGCAGCGUUGGAUCUGAAGAUUUUUAACAAUAGAGCCAAAAAGAAAACUAUCAUUACGAAGAGCUAGCUGUGUUUGGCGCAGGAGGAAAUCGUGCCCAUCAUUCAACUGCGCUCGCAGUAGAUUAUUGUUCCGAAUGGUCGGUUUGGCGCAAGAGCACGGAAUGUUGUGCCGGGAAAUGCAUUCGGACUUCGCAUUUUGUGCAGAUAAAGUACUGUAACCAGUAUCCAGAUGUCUACAAAUACGACAAUACGGCGAAGGCAACAAAGAGGAGUAAAAAGGUCUGGGACAGAUAGCUGCUGUUUCCUGCAGUCUGUCUGUCAGUCGGGUGGAGCUUAGUCGUCUGUCAGCAGAUAGUGUGCACUUCGACCAUAGGGAAGAUGUAUUCCUGAACACACGUUGCUGAACACAUCCCAACGGAAGCGGAUCGAUGUUUCACCUUUAAUGGCAAUGCGCUGUGGCUGGGUGCGAUUCUGCCAAAGGAUUGCCUCACAAUUAUUAGAUUACCUCCGUCAGCUGUAGGUUUUAUAUGUAAAGGAUGUGAAUAAUUAUUCCACUGGCCGGGUAUAAGUGCCAAUGUGCGUAAUCGUAAUAAGUGCCAAAAUUCAUCGAAAUAAGAGUGGACAAUGAUAAACGAAUGGCGUUAGUACAGUGAUUAUAUUGAAUGUAUAUAUUUUCAAGGCAUGUUAUAUGACUGUUUUAUUCUCGGUUUUAUCUUUGUUUUUUCAAUAAAAUUUUUAAAAAAUC
This is a long non-coding RNA of Armigeres subalbatus, 1293 nucleotides long. RefSeq lists it as uncharacterized. Lineage: Eukaryota; Metazoa; Arthropoda; Insecta; Diptera; Culicidae. The transcript has 2 exons. The record is from RefSeq and is a predicted model, not a curated record.